Molecule: ribosomal RNA, 200 nt
Filed under: uncultured bacterium
Lineage: Bacteria
Description: partial 16S ribosomal RNA
Rfam family: Bacterial small subunit ribosomal RNA
Source: RNAcentral
AGAGUUUGAUCAUGGCUCAGGACGAACGCUGGCGGCAGGCUUAACACAUGCAAGUCGAGCGGGCGUAGCAAUACGGGAGCGGCAGACGGGAGAGUAACACGUGGGAACGUACCCUUCGGUUCGGAAUAACCCAGGGAAACUUGGGCUAAUACCGGAUACGUCCGUAAGGAGAAAGAUUUAUCGCCGGAGGAUCGGCCCGC